RNAcentral lists this ribosomal RNA (460 nucleotides) under uncultured bacterium. Its description in RNAcentral is "partial 16S ribosomal RNA". It matches the Rfam family "Bacterial small subunit ribosomal RNA", at positions 338 to 795 of the family's 1533-position model. The record is from RNAcentral.
CCUACGGGUGGCAGCAGUGAGGAAUCUUGGUCAAUGGACGCAAGUCUGAACCAGCAAUGCCGCGUGCAGGAAGACGGUCCUCUGAGUUGUAAACUGCUUUUGUACGGGGGAAAACGCAGAUACGCGUAUCUGUCUGAAACUAUCGUAAGAAUAAGGAUCGGCUAACUCCGUGACAGCAGCCGCGGUAAUACGGAGGAUUCAAGCGUUAUCCGGAUUUCUUGGGUUUAAAGGGUGCGUAGGAGGUCGGAUAAGUUAGAGGUGAAAGCCCGAGGCUCAACUUCGGAAUUGCCUCUGAUACUGUUCGGCUAGAGAGUAGUAGCGGUAGGCGGAAUGCAUGGUGUAGCGGUGAAAUGCAUAGAUAUCAGGCAGAACACCGAUUGCGAAGGCAGCAUGCCGGAUUCACACUGACGCUGAGGCACGAAAGCGUGGGUAUCGAACAGGAUUAGAUACCCGAGUAGUC